This 305-nucleotide ribosomal RNA is filed under the name uncultured bacterium. RNAcentral's name for it is "bacterial SSU rRNA". It matches the Rfam family "Bacterial small subunit ribosomal RNA", at positions 334 to 636 of the family's 1533-position model. The record is from RNAcentral.
CACGUCCUACGGGGGGCAGCAGUGAGGAAUAUUGGUCAAUGGGCGGAAGCCUGAACCAGCCAAGUCGCGUGAGGGAAGACGGCCCUACGGGUUGUAAACCUCUUUUGUCGGGGAGCAAAGCGAGUCACGUGUGACUCAUUGAGAGUACCCGAAGAAAAAGCAUCGGCUAACUCCGUGCCAGCAGCCGCGGUAAUACGGAGGAUGCGAGCGUUAUCCGGAUUUAUUGGGUUUAAAGGGUGCGCAGGCGGAGGUGCAAGUCAGCAGUCAAAUUGCGGGGCCCAACCCCGCACUGCCGUUGAAACUGG